This 1000-nucleotide ribosomal RNA is filed under the name uncultured organism. Its description in RNAcentral is "bacterial SSU rRNA". It matches the Rfam family "Bacterial small subunit ribosomal RNA", at positions 356 to 1376 of the family's 1533-position model. The record is from RNAcentral.
GGGGGAUAUUGCGCAAUGGGGGCAACCCUGACGCAGCAACGCCGCGUGAAGGAUGAAGGUUUUUGGAUUGUAAACUUCUUUUAUUAAGGACGAAAAAUGACGGUACUUAAUGAAUAAGCUCCGGCUAACUACGUGCCAGCAGCCGCGGUAAUACGUAGGGAGCAAGCGUUGUCCGGAUUUACUGGGUGUAAAGGGUGCGUAGGCGGCUUUGCAAGUCAGAUGUGAAAUCUAUGGGCUCAACCCAUAAACUGCAUUUGAAACUGUAGAGCUUGAGUGAAGUAGAGGCAGGCGGAAUUCCCCGUGUAGCGGUGAAAUGCGUAGAGAUGGGGAGGAACACCAGUGGCGAAGGCGGCCUGCUGGGCUUUAACUGACGCUGAGGCACGAAAGCGUGGGUAGCAAACAGGAUUAGAUACCCUGGUAGUCCACGCUGUAAACGAUGAUUACUAGGUGUGGGGGGUCUGACCCCUUCCGUGCCGGAGUUAACACAAUAAGUAAUCCACCUGGGGAGUACGGCCGCAAGGUUGAAACUCAAAGGAAUUGACGGGGGCCCGCACAAGCAGUGGAGUAUGUGGUUUAAUUCGAAGCAACGCGAAGAACCUUACCAGGUCUUGACAUCCAACUAACGAAGUAGAGAUACAUUAGGUGCCCUUCGGGGAAAGUUGAGACAGGUGGUGCAUGGUUGUCGUCAGCUCGUGUCGUGAGAUGUUGGGUUAAGUCCCGCAACGAGCGCAACCCUUGCUAUUAGUUGCUACGCAAGAGCACUCUAAUAGGACUGCCGUUGACAAAACGGAGGAAGGUGGGGACGACGUCAAAUCAUCAUGCCCCUUAUGACCUGGGCUACACACGUACUACAAUGGAUGUUAACAGAGGGAAGCAAGACAGCGAUGUGGAGCAAACCCCUAAAAACAUUCUCAGUUCAGAUUGCAGGCUGCAACCCGCCUGCAUGAAGAUGGAAUUGCUAGUAAUCGCGGAUCAGCAUGCCGCGGUGAAUACGUUCCCG